GGGGAAUAUUGCACAAUGGGCGAAAGCCUGAUGCAGCGACGCCGCGUGAGGGAUGACGGCCUUCGGGUUGUAAACCUCUUUCAGCAGGGAAGAAGCGAAAGUGACGGUACCUGCAGAAGAAGCGCCGGCUAACUACGUGCCAGCAGCCGCGGUAAUACGUAGGGCGCAAGCGUUGUCCGGAAUUAUUGGGCGUAAAGAGCUCGUAGGCGGUUAGUCGCGUCUGCUGUGAAAACUCGAGGCUCAACCUCGGGCUUGCAGUGGGUACGGGCUGACUAGAGUGCGGUAGGGGUGACUGGAAUUCCUGGUGUAGCGGUAAAAUCCGUAGAGAUCGAGAGGAAUACUCAUUGCGAAGGCGACCUGCUGGAACAUUACUGACGCUGAGGUGCGAAAGCGUGGGGAGCAAACA
This 406-nucleotide ribosomal RNA is filed under the name uncultured Actinomycetales bacterium. RNAcentral's name for it is "bacterial SSU rRNA". It matches the Rfam family "Bacterial small subunit ribosomal RNA", at positions 356 to 774 of the family's 1533-position model. Lineage: Bacteria; Bacillati; Actinomycetota; Actinomycetes; Actinomycetales. The record is from RNAcentral.